RNAcentral lists this ribosomal RNA (301 nucleotides) under uncultured bacterium. RNAcentral's name for it is "partial 16S ribosomal RNA". It matches the Rfam family "Bacterial small subunit ribosomal RNA", at positions 509 to 807 of the family's 1533-position model. The record is from RNAcentral.
CAGUAGCCACGGUAAUACGAAGGGGGCUAGCGUUGUUCGGAAUUACUGGGCGUAAAGCGCACGCAGGCGGCUCGAUAAAUUAGAAGUGAAAGCCUUGGGCUUAACCUGAGAAUUGCUUUUAAGACUGUCGAGCUAGAAUCCAGAAGAGGGUAGUGGAAUUCCGAGUGUAGAGGUGAAAUUCGUAGAUAUUCGGAAGAACACCAGUGGCGAAGGCGACUACCUGGUCUGGCAUUGACGCUCAUGUGCGAAAGCGUGGGGAGCAAACAGGAUUAGAUACCCCUGUAGUCCCUGUCUCUUAUAC